UACGAACUGUGCGAACGUUAUUCGGAAUCACUGGGCUUAAAGGGUGCGUAGGCGGUUACCUAAGUCAGGUGUGAAAUCUCUCGGCUCAACCGGGAAACUGCGCUUGAAACUGGGUGACUGGAGUGAUGCAGGGGUGUGUGGAACUUCCGGUGGAGCGGUGAAAUGUGUAGAUAUCGGAAGGAACGCCAGCAGCGAAAGCGGCACACUGGGCAUUUUCUGACGCUGAGGCACGAAAGCUAGGGGAGUGAACGGG
Molecule: ribosomal RNA, 253 nt
Filed under: uncultured bacterium
Lineage: Bacteria
Also listed under: 1 other name
Description: partial 16S ribosomal RNA
Rfam family: Bacterial small subunit ribosomal RNA
Source: RNAcentral